UACAAGUCAUAAGAUUUGAUAGCUAUUUUAGUUCAUGUAUUUCAGGAGAAAUAUGUAUGCACAACUCAACCUCCCCUUCUCGUGCACCAUUUUACCGAUUUCAACCACCUCUUGAGAUAUUUCUUCUAACAAGAACUAUUUAUAAUUUGUCUGUUGAUAGUUUGAUUCAUUCAGGGAGCUUCAGCAAAUUCUAAUGGAAUACCUUAUAACAUUCGAUUCUU
RNAcentral lists this long non-coding RNA (221 nucleotides) under Arachis ipaensis. RNAcentral describes it as "long non-coding RNA (AIPA_LNC000611)". The record is from RNAcentral. Lineage: Eukaryota; Viridiplantae; Streptophyta; Magnoliopsida; Fabales; Fabaceae.